AAAGGGAAAGGUAUAGAAAUAAUUGGAGUUUUAAUAAUAUAGUUGAUUGUCAUUGCUACUUUGACGUCAUUUUCCAUUUCUUAGUGUCCACGAUGUAUUUGGGCAAUUUUGGCUUCUUAGUGACAGAAAUAGAAUCUAAGUUAGGCCAGUAAAUUUGAUAAAUUUUUCUCUACUUGUGAGUUUGUACGAUAGAUUCAAUUAAAAUGAUUUUCAUUAGUAUGUUUGUCGUUGAUUUUUAAGUGUUUAAUAUGCCAUGAAAAUCUUGGACCAAUCUUGAACAUAGAAAGAAAACUUUAAAAUUCAAAUUAGGUAAAAAUGGAGAAAAUGUAAUUUUAUACAACUGUUGAUCUCAAACCAAAUCAAUGCCAACUCAAGAUACUCUAGCUAGUAUCUUCUUCAUCCUUCAUGAGUUUGUAUUCUAUUUUUGGUAUUGCACUAGGGAAAUUUUUGAAAUUCCCUCUGUCCCUCCUUGAAUAUUUCUCUUGUCCAUAUUCUUAAUCAAAUUCUCAAUUAACUUCUCAACAGAUUGCAGUAGGGUAGAAGGAGGUUCUAACUGUUCCAAUUUCACCUACUUUAAUUCAGAUGCAAAGAUGAAAGCUGAGUUUUGUGAAUGCUGAUGUUCUCACGAUUGGAAAUAAGAUGACAUACCCUGGUGAAAUAAGUUCCUAGAUUGUAUAUAUAUUAAUUUUUAAUUUUUUUAUGUUAAAUUUUAAUUAAAUUAUUACAUGUUUUUUCUUUUUUUCUUUUUUGUUUAAUAUAGUCAUCUAAUCAAUGCUAUAAGAAAUCAAAAAGAGCUAAAAAAAAAAGCUUCAAUUGUUGCUGCCAUAAGAGAAGAGAAUGAAGGGAUAAAACUAUCAAAAGGAGGAUCUAACUUUAUUCUAGAUGUACGUGAAAAUGAUGUGGUAGAAGGGUUUCCUAAUAGUGCUAGUACUAUUGUAGACAUAUAUAAGGGAAGGGGUCGAGCAAAAUUGAAUUAUCUCAACAAGGAAAACUGUGCGAAGUUACCAGUAGAGUUUAAUGAAAGAGGACAGCCAAUUUGUAAGGGUUUAAAUAAGUUGUCAUCAUUUUUUGGGACCACAACUAGAGAACUUAUACCAAUUACAUGGAAAAAUUGGAAAGAUAUCAGCAAAGAAUUUCUUGAUGACAUAUGGGAGCAUGUGCAGGUAAUAUAAAUGUCACGUCUCUUAUAUAAUUUAAAUGAAAUUACUAUUAAUAUUGUGUACUUUGAUGCUGCAAAAGUUUGAUGUCGAUGCUUGUUAUAGAAAAUACAUCAUGCAAAAAAUGGGAAAGAAUUGGCGAGAUCAUCGAUGUAAUUUGCUUAAAGCAAUCAAUAACAAAGGAAAAACAAUUGGCAUGACACGAGCUGCUGCUCUCCUCAAGCCUGAUAAUGUUGAAUCAAUGGAAGAAUGGCAAGCAUUUGUCCAAGAACACAAUUCUCAACCAUAUAAGGAAAAGAAUAAAAGAUUCCAAAAUAUGAGAGCAAGUCAAACCAUGAUGCAUACAACAAGUAAAAAGGGUUUUGCUUGCUUAGAAGCUGAAAUGCGUGCUGAAAGUGAAGAUCCUGAUUCGAUAACAAGAGAUGAUGUUUAUAUUUGAGGACAUACGCGAAAAAAUGGUGAACCUAUUAAUGAAUCGGUUGGGGAAACAUCGAAUAAAAUAAAAGCAUAUUCAGAGACGGUUUCUCUCCAGGCAAACACUCACUUGAAGGUGAUGGUGUUGCAAAAGUACUUGGUCCAGAACGUCCAGGACGAGUAAGAGGUCUUGGUUUCGGUGCGACUCCUUCAAAGUUGAAUGCUUUGGUGCACAAUCAUAACUUGCAAACUCAAGUUCAAGAGUUGAGAUUAAAGAAUUAAAAGCUAUAUUUCAAGUGAAGAGUAAAAGUGCUGGACAAGAAGAUAAUUCUAGAGACAGAAGCUUGAAUGAUUUAGAUAACCUUCCAAAUAAGAAGUGCAAAUUGUUAUCUUGGUUUGGGAAAGCUGAUAUUGUUGCAAAAGGUGAAAUCGCAUCAACAAAUCCAAAUGAUCUAAUGCAUCAUGUACCCUUGGUAAUGAAUGUUCGAGAGUUUGGAUUAAUGAAGUAAUCGAUAAUGUCAGCUUAUAUCGUCCCACGCGUGAGCUUUUUCUUCUUGAAGAUGCAUUAGGAAGUACAAUUGCAUGACCAAGUAGGUACAUCGAAGUGGAUUCGCUGUAAUCACAACGAAGGCAUGCUUAACUUCCUUUCUAUUUUAAUUUCAUUUACCUUUAUGUUCGGUCUCAAUUGAAGAUUGGGUUGUUUAAUAUAUUUCGUGAUAUACAUUUGAUUUGGAUGCUUAUUAAUUAUAUCCUUAUUAUUUUCGUGGUGUGCAGGGGAUCCAUAUUUUGUGGGGAAGCUAAAUUGUCGAUCAAAGAAGUGAACUUUGAUAGGUUUAAUAAGUUUUUGUUAUAUGACAGAACCUCAAUAUCCGCGGGCUUAUUAGUUGAAUGGCGAUUGGCACAUACAAUAGUAGUCAAAAAAUUUUGAGAAUUGUUUAGAUGAAUUUUACAUUGGCAUAUUGUAUUGAACCGUACUCAAUAUUUCUUUUUAUCGAAACAAUGGAAAACUUGAUUAUAUAUGGAGUAAUUUUAUUUUGUUAA
Molecule: long non-coding RNA, 2612 nt
Organism: Olea europaea var. sylvestris
Lineage: Eukaryota; Viridiplantae; Streptophyta; Magnoliopsida; Lamiales; Oleaceae
Exons: 6
Source: RefSeq, a predicted model, not a curated record